AUGGAAGUGAUGAUUCUUUCCCCAACUUCUCGACUCUGAUGAGAUACUAAGCUAUUUUUUCUCUUCGGAGAAUCCAAGCCAAGAAUCUGAUCCAU
This is a small nucleolar RNA of Telopea speciosissima, 95 nucleotides long. RefSeq annotates it as small nucleolar RNA Z103. The transcript has a single exon. The record is from RefSeq and is a predicted model, not a curated record. NCBI's taxonomy places the organism in Eukaryota, Viridiplantae, Streptophyta, Magnoliopsida, Proteales, Proteaceae.